RNAcentral lists this ribosomal RNA (253 nucleotides) under uncultured bacterium. RNAcentral describes it as "partial 16S ribosomal RNA". It matches the Rfam family "Bacterial small subunit ribosomal RNA", at positions 524 to 776 of the family's 1533-position model. The record is from RNAcentral.
UACGUAGGGGGCAAGCGUUGUCCGGAAUCAUUGGGCGUAAAGCGCGCGUAGGCGGCCCGAUAAGUCCGCUGUAAAAGUCCAGGGCUCAACCCUGGAAAGCCGGUGGAUACUGUCGGGCUAGAGUCCGGAAGAGGCGAGUGGAAUUCCUGGUGUAGCGGUGGAAUGCGCAGAUAUCAGGAGGAACACCGGUGGCGAAGGCGGGUCUCUGGGCCGUAACUGACGCUGAGGAGCGAAAGCGUGGGGAGCGAACAGG